GGAAGUGUAGCUCAGUGGUAGAGUACUUGACUAGUAUGUGGGAAGUCCUGGGUUCAAUCCCUGGUGCCUCCC
Molecule: transfer RNA, 72 nt
Filed under: Ictidomys tridecemlineatus (thirteen-lined ground squirrel)
Lineage: Eukaryota; Metazoa; Chordata; Mammalia; Rodentia; Sciuridae
Description: Spermophilus tridecemlineatus (thirteen-lined ground squirrel) tRNA
Rfam family: tRNA
About the family: Transfer RNA (tRNA) molecules are approximately 80 nucleotides in length. Their secondary structure includes four short double-helical elements and three loops (D, anti-codon, and T loops).
Source: Rfam by way of RNAcentral